UACGAAGGGGGCUAGCGUUGUUCGGAAUCACUGGGCGUAAAGCGCUCGUAGGCGGAUCUUUAAGUCAGGGGUGAAAUCCCGAGGCUCAACCUCGGAACUGCCUUUGAUACUGGGGAUCUCGAGUCCGGGAGAGGUGAGUGGAAUUGCGAGUGUAGAGGUGAAAUUCGUAGAUAUUCGCAAGAACACCAGUGGCGAAGGCGGCUCACUGGCCCGGUACUGACGCUGAGGAGCGAAAGCGUGGGGAGCAAACAGG
This 253-nucleotide ribosomal RNA is filed under the name uncultured bacterium. RNAcentral describes it as "partial 16S ribosomal RNA". It matches the Rfam family "Bacterial small subunit ribosomal RNA", at positions 524 to 776 of the family's 1533-position model. The record is from RNAcentral.